Melozone crissalis (California towhee) is the source of this 217-nucleotide long non-coding RNA. RefSeq lists it as uncharacterized. The record is from RefSeq and is a predicted model, not a curated record. NCBI's taxonomy places the organism in Eukaryota, Metazoa, Chordata, Aves, Passeriformes, Passerellidae. The transcript is spliced from 3 exons.
AGCCGAGUGCUGGUGGCAGACUGAGGGAGAAAGAAUAACCCCAGCAUUGUGGAACACAGGGGUCUGCCAGUGCUGGUGAAGCCUUUUUUGAGAAGCACAGAGAAAAUCUGCCAUCCCAAACCCAUCUCCUUCCCACUGGCCACCAGCCUGAGCAGGAGCUGUGUACAGGUGCUCCAUCCCAGCUCUGACUUCUGCUGGAUAUUUCCAUAUUCCUGGU